Molecule: long non-coding RNA, 368 nt
Filed under: Brassica napus (rape)
Lineage: Eukaryota; Viridiplantae; Streptophyta; Magnoliopsida; Brassicales; Brassicaceae
Description: long non-coding RNA (BNAP_LNC017490)
Source: RNAcentral
ACAAUAGUAUCUUCUAACGAGUCUUCUUCAUCUAUACCAACAUCAUUCUGAAGCUUCUCAUCAACUAAAAUCUCCCCUUCUUCCCCAUCAUCCAUACUUAAUAUCAAAAAUUUAGAAGCAGAUAUCUGCACCUCCUCAAUAUUUUUAGUAGCAACAGGUCUACCAAUUUUCCCCGGAGACACUAAGGACCAUGCGUUCCUUUCUUUAUCUCCAGUAUCUUUGUUUAUCAUCCCUUCAUUCUGCAUCUUCCCCACCAAUAUCAGCGGACUUCUGCCUCCCUCAUUCCUAUCUUCUACUACAACUUCUUCAAUAUCCAUUUCUCCAGCUACAACUUUCCCAUUGUGAACCUCAGCAUUUGCUUCUUCAUU